GCCGGGCUCCCUCCGGCAGAGGAGCCCGCUCCUUCCUCUCGGGAGCUGAAUGAGUGUGGAGACAGAACUUGCCUUGAACUAACUCUGUUGCCGCCGGGGAAGACAUCCGCCUUUUCGUUCCAUUUUGGGCGGCUGCGGGCAGGGCAGCCCGGGUGGAGAUUUGCAGGAGUGCAGCUCUUCCCGGUGUCCGCAGGCCGGGGAGACGGGGGGUUCUCCUUCCUCAGGCCUGGCUCCUCACAGCAGCCUCUCUUGGACCCCGGUGCCAGAGGAAAGAGGCGAGCACAGCGCGCCCCAGCCCGUGCCCGCGCAUUUCUGGGGCAGACAUCCUCGCCGGGAAAUGGCUUUAUUUAGACAGAGAACAGGCAGGAGAAUCCAAACUCCAGGCCUCAUCCGACAGCACAUCCCGGUGCCAAAAAGGCCAAAGGAGUUGUAAUUGCUGUCAGAACUGAGCUUUCAGCAGGCCCCUGAGAGGAGAGACAGUGAAGAAAAAAAACAAUCCUCCGUUUCCUUGGCCCCCAAAAUGCCUGUAAACUUUGACCUGCUGACAGAGAAAGGCCAGCGGUGGAAAGGGCGUGCUGUGGAGUCAUGACCUCUGCUAAUGGACCUCCUGCUUGGGAAGCUGUUCAGUACUGCCACCUGCUCUCCCCAGAGGCAUUAAAUAAAGUAUUAAAAAGUUUUGUAA
This is a long non-coding RNA of Melospiza melodia melodia, 682 nucleotides long. RefSeq lists it as uncharacterized. The transcript is spliced from 2 exons. The record is from RefSeq and is a predicted model, not a curated record. Lineage: Eukaryota; Metazoa; Chordata; Aves; Passeriformes; Passerellidae.